GACGAACGCUGGCGGCGUGCCUAAUACAUGCAAGUAGAACGCUGAAGGAGGAGCUUGCUUCUCUGGAUGAGUUGCGAACGGGUGAGUAACGCGUAGGUAACCUGCCUGGUAGCGGGGGAUAACUAUUGGAAGCGAUAGCUAAUACCGCAUAAGAGUAGAUGUUGCAUGACAUUUGCUUAAAAGGUGCAAUUGCAUCACUACCAGAUGGACCUGCGUUGUAUUAGCUAGUUGGUGGGGUAACGGCUCACCAAGGCGACGAUACAUAGCCGACCUGAGAGGGUGAUCGGCCACACUGGGACUGAGACACGGCCCAGACUCCUACGGGAGGCAGCAGUAGGGAAUCUUCGGCAAUGGACGGAAGUCUGACCGAGCAACGCCGCGUGAGUGAAGAAGGGUUUCGGAUCGUAAAGCUCUGUUGUAAGAGAAGAACGAGUGUGAGAGUGGAAAGUUCACACUGUGACGGUAUCUUACCAGAAAGGGACGGCUAACUACGUG
Molecule: ribosomal RNA, 495 nt
Filed under: uncultured bacterium
Lineage: Bacteria
Description: partial 16S ribosomal RNA
Rfam family: Bacterial small subunit ribosomal RNA
Source: RNAcentral